Molecule: RNA transcript, 2340 nt
Organism: Hypomesus transpacificus
Lineage: Eukaryota; Metazoa; Chordata; Actinopteri; Osmeriformes; Osmeridae
Gene name: trafficking protein particle complex subunit 11-like
Exons: 5
Source: RefSeq, a predicted model, not a curated record
AUUCUGCUAACGAAUGUUGAUUUGUUAGUGAAGGACUGACUACGACCAGAGAUCCCGCUUGAUGGCAUCCGAAGCAGAACUUUAUUAGACAUUCUCUGCCUAUAUCACAAUACCGCCAUGUUUAAAAUUCACAAAAAAACCUAAGAAGAUGGAGCUCACCAGCACUGAAGAGCGCAUUGCUGAAGAGGUACGCAAAUAUCCUCACCUCUUCAAUACAUCGAUAAAAGACUAUAAAGAUGCGCGAAUGACGGCCAAUUCGUGGCGAUCAAUAUCUGCAGCGGUAGAGCUGGACCCUAAAGACUGCGUAACGCGAUGGAGGAGGUUGCGGGACAAGUUCGUAAGGGCCAAGAGGACUUUUAAAAGCAUCAGUGGCGAUGCAGGAGGGAAGAAGAUGCCUGCCAUCCUAACGUUUCUGUCGUGGUUGGACCCGUUCGUGAAACAUCGUGAGACGUCCUCUAACUACGACAAAAAGACGGCGGUGUCAAACGCACCCAGGUUCGAGACCACCUGUGCCUGCAGCCAGGAUCUGGUGGAGCUCGAAAGAGAAAAGAUCAACAUCCUGAAAGGAAUUCAGCAAACCCUUAAGGACUCAGCGGCCAGGGAUGCCAGUUAUCAGGAGGAAGUCUUGGAAAUCAAGAGGGCUCGCCUCCAAAUGGAGGAAAAGAAGUUCCUGCUUGAGCAAAUGAAAUUUGAGAGGCCCUCCAUUUUUUUUACCGAUUCUUCUGCCCAACCAACAAGAUCCGAGUGAGGAGCAGGGAGAACAAACUCAGAAAUAAAACAAUUUUUUCUGUGAUAUCUUGUGCCUUGGUUUUUAACUCUUCUUGAUACUCCACUUUCCAUGGGCAAAUCAAUAAGAUUCCUAUAUUUUCUACUUGAUUGAGCAACAAGGUAAAAAACCAUGCAUAUAAAUUGUAUCACACAUGCCAUUCAGCUAGCAGCCUAAAUAAUACAAUGUACAAAUACAAACAUCUCAAUCUCCAACAUAUUUACUGUCUUAUUUUCUAGUGUUGACUAUAUCUACAAUCUUGCAAUAAUAGGCCAACAGCUUUCCAAGACUAUGUUUGCAAAAUCAUGAUUCCCACAUUGGCCACAAACGACAAUGUGACAAACUGUGAGUGUCAGAUCACUCUCUAAUCAGUUUAAUUGACAUACAGACCUGUUCAUUACAUUCUCACGGUAUAUAAAGGAGAGGUCUAGCCUACUUAUCAAGCGGAACAUGGCUGCAAAACAACAGAUAAUACGAGAGAGAGAGAGCAAUGGCGGCCCAGAAGUCAGCUGGUAAGGCUCAAUACCUUUUCGAGGAUGACUGAGUCCACUGGACAUCCUUGAGGAUUCUGCCAUUCUACAUAAAUACCGGCUCAGGAGGACUGACAUCCUGAUGCUCCUGAACCUUAUCGAGACAGACCUGCCGAGGCCAACAAGGAGGUCCUACGCACUCACCCCUGCAACCCAGCUACUAGCUGCGCUACGUUUUUAUGGAACUGGCCAUUUUUGAGGGGUUCUUGACAAUGGACAUGGGCUCUCCAAGGCCUCAGUAUCGAGAUCCGUGCAGGCUGUCACAUUAGCAUUACUUCGCCACAUCCCAGACCACAUCCAAUUCCCCACAACAAGAGGCGACAAGUCUGCGGUGCAGGAUUUUUUGUUGUCAAACAUAACAUUCCCCAAGUCAUUGGGGUAAUUGAUGGCACCCUCAUUCCCAUCCUCACCCCUUCCAAUCAGGGCUAUGUUUUCUUUUGAAGGAAAGGCUUUGCUGCCAUCAACUGCCAGGUUAUCUGACCAUCAGGGGCUCAUCACUGAUCUUGUGGCCUCUCGUCCAAGGAACAGUUUCUUCCAACUCUCACUGACUCAUGUCUAAAUGGAAUUAGGCUCUUAAAAUGAACUUAAAUCCAGGAAAACAAUACCACAUCAGGCCAAAUGAGGUACCGGGGGAAUUGGACUGCACCUCCCUCUUCCCAGGUAGGCUAUUGUUGCCGCAUAUAUACUCUAUUCCUCCUGUCUGCAUGCUCACAUGUUUUGUUGCCCUCCCACCAUCUGCUUCUCUCAGGCACACCAGGGGGAUCUGCUCGUGCUUCUGCUCAGUCGUGACCCUCAAGGACUCUUCCACCACACCCGAGAUCCAGCCCGGACGCUAGGCUGCGCCAUCCAGCAAACGUUCUCCCCGGAAAGUGGACGACGUCCAAAGCUCAGACCCCGGGGGCACGGCAGGAGAUGCUGUAUAACUUCUACCCCCUGAUGGUGGGCUACCAGACAAUCCCCCUGCUCAACAUCACCCUGCUGCGCUUCCCCAGUCCGACCAAUCAGCUGCUGCGACGCUUCCUGUCCUCACGCAUCUUCGUCAAG